CCCGUCCUUGAUCUAGGGGAAGCAAAGGUCACAGGAUCGUUUUGUGAUGGCCUUGGUGCUGACACCCUUAUAAACGUCCCGCCUCCGGCACACGUGCCGUGUGGCAAUUUCUGAAGCC
This is a small nuclear RNA of Pollicipes pollicipes, 118 nucleotides long. RefSeq annotates it as U4atac minor spliceosomal RNA. NCBI's taxonomy places the organism in Eukaryota, Metazoa, Arthropoda, Thecostraca, Pollicipedomorpha, Pollicipedidae. The transcript has a single exon. The record is from RefSeq and is a predicted model, not a curated record.